CCUACGGGCGGCAGCAGUGAGGAAUAUUGGUCAAUGGCCGGAAGGCUGAACCAGCCAUGCCGCGUGAAGGUCAGUGCCCUAUGGGCGUUAAACUUCUUUUGUGCGGGAGCAAUAAUGGUCACGUGUGGCCAGACGAGAGUACCGUACGAAUAAGCAUCGGCGAACUCCGUGCCAGCAGCCGCGGUAAUACGGGGGAUGCAAGCGUUAUCCGGAGUUAUUGGGUUUAAAGGGUGCGUAGGCUGUGAGGUAAGUCAGCGGUGAAAUGCCCCCGGUCAACGGGGUGAAGUGCCAUUGAUACUGCCUUGCUGGAAUGCGGAUGCCGUGGGAGGAAUGUGUGGUGUAGCGGUGAAAUGCAUAGAUAUCACACAGAACACCGAUUGCGAAGGCAGCUCACGAAUCCGCGAUUGACGCUGAUGCACGAAAGCGUGGGUAUCAAACAGGAUUAGAUACCCGAGUAGUC
This 460-nucleotide ribosomal RNA is filed under the name uncultured bacterium. Its description in RNAcentral is "partial 16S ribosomal RNA". It matches the Rfam family "Bacterial small subunit ribosomal RNA", at positions 338 to 795 of the family's 1533-position model. The record is from RNAcentral.